GGGGGAUCAAGCCUCCAGCUUUGAAGUUCCCGUCCUCAGUUUGCGCGUCCGGAGUUAAUGCCGGGGACGGACGAGAAGGGGCUUCAGGCUUUACGAGAUACAAACAGACUGUCCAGCUCAGACACCAGUAGCUGGUGUGCGUGAAGUACCUGCCACGUUCAUCCUGUGACCACUUUUUGGACCAGAGCUGAUUGCAUCACAUUUGGGCACCUGAUGGAAAUACGGCUUAUAUAGAUGCUGCCCAUUGGAGCUAUGGAGGUGGCCUGGCCUGAGAGCUCUGACUAAUGGUACAGCAGGGAUCCAAGGCAAUUAGAUCUCCUUCCUGGGGAAUUUAAAUGUGAGACACACAGAAAGCUGGAGGCAAGCAGAAAUCAGUAAGCAGAAGACAUUACGUGAUAGAAGCCAUGAGUAAGCAGAGGCUUGAGUAGAGAGAAAAACAAACUGAGCUCUAGAAACAAAUGCAGAGAAGGGCUGGUGCUCUACAUGGCAGAGCGCACAGGAGGGAGCCCAGCCACCCAGUGCUGAGGGCCCACUGCAUGAUGAGGCGACAGCCUGAAUAACCUUCAGGUCCCUGUGUUUUAUUCUCUGCAGUGCUGGACUUUGCUGCAUAUGCCAUUGCGCCCUGUCUCCGUCCUUCCCCACGUGUCCUUACAAUAAAUCCCUUGCCAAUGAA
Non-coding RNA from Equus caballus (horse), 673 nucleotides. The record is from RefSeq and is a predicted model, not a curated record. NCBI's taxonomy places the organism in Eukaryota, Metazoa, Chordata, Mammalia, Perissodactyla, Equidae.